UACGAAGGGGGCUAGCGUUGUUCGGAUUUACUGGGCGUAAAGCGCGUGUAGGCGGGUCGUUAAGUUGGGGGUGAAAUCCCGAGGCUCAACCUCGGAACUGCCUUCAAAACUGGCGACCUGGACUCAAGUAGAGGCAAGUGGAAUUGCGAGUGUAGAGGUGAAAUUCGUAGAUAUUCGCAGGAACACCAGUGGCGAAGGCGACUUGCUGGGCUUGUAGUGACGCUGAGACGCGAAAGCGUGGGGAGCAAACAGG
RNAcentral lists this ribosomal RNA (253 nucleotides) under uncultured bacterium. RNAcentral describes it as "partial 16S ribosomal RNA". It matches the Rfam family "Bacterial small subunit ribosomal RNA", at positions 524 to 776 of the family's 1533-position model. The record is from RNAcentral.